This 311-nucleotide unclassified non-coding RNA is filed under the name Hevea brasiliensis (rubber tree). Lineage: Eukaryota; Viridiplantae; Streptophyta; Magnoliopsida; Malpighiales; Euphorbiaceae. The record is from RNAcentral.
AUGAUUGGGAUGAAAGGCAUUGCUAGUUACUGGAAAGGUACUGGUUGGCACCGCUUGGCUUUGACGGUAAGGAGGGUAAAUAAAAGGCAAUGGCCGCAUCAUGUUUGGGGUUGGAGGAGCUGAUGGGUUUGGGUGGUGUGGGGAAGACAAUGGACUAACUGUGGGUAACACAGUAGCAGGCCCUGAAUGCAGAGUCAUGUUUACUGGCCAUGGUGCAACAGCUGGAACAGCACCAGAACCAGAAAGAAGAGGAAUAUUCACAGUUACAGGUGCAGGACGUGCAAUGUAUGGUGAUGGGUUAAAUGGAGCUG